AAAUUUUAUAAACACACAUUUGUUUUAUAUGUUACUAACACACAUUUGACAACUUAGAUGAAAUGGACUAAUUCCUUAAAAAAUAAAAACUACUACAACAUACCCGAUAUGAAGUAGAUAAUUUCAGUAGCUUUAUAACUAUUAAGGACAUUGAAUUUGUAAUUUAAAACUUCACCCCCAAGAAAUCUUUACUCCAGAUGAUUUCAGUGGAGAAUUCUAUCAAACGUCUAAAGAAUUAACACCGAUUCUACAAAUCUGAUCCAGAAAAUAGAAGAGAUGAAGCAUUUCCUAAGUCAUUUUAUGAGGCCCAUCUUACCCAUAUCAAAACCAGACAAGGAAAAUACAAAAAAGAUGACUACAGACCAAUGACCUUUAAUAAGAACACAGACA
RNAcentral lists this long non-coding RNA (390 nucleotides) under Homo sapiens (human). RNAcentral's name for it is "HSALNT0005264". The record is from RNAcentral. Lineage: Eukaryota; Metazoa; Chordata; Mammalia; Primates; Hominidae.